RNAcentral lists this ribosomal RNA (465 nucleotides) under Vreelandella stevensii. RNAcentral's name for it is "partial 16S ribosomal RNA". It matches the Rfam family "Bacterial small subunit ribosomal RNA", at positions 338 to 795 of the family's 1533-position model. The record is from RNAcentral. Lineage: Bacteria; Pseudomonadati; Pseudomonadota; Gammaproteobacteria; Oceanospirillales; Halomonadaceae.
CCUACGGGCGGCAGCAGUGGGGAAUAUUGGACAAUGGGGGCAACCCUGAUCCAGCCAUGCCGCGUGUGUGAAGAAGGCCCUCGGGUUGUAAAGCACUUUCAGUGAGGAAGAACGCCUGGUGGUUAAUACCCAUCAGGAAAGACAUCACUCACAGAAGAAGCACCGGCUAACUCCGUGCCAGCAGCCGCGGUAAUACGGAGGGUGCGAGCGUUAAUCGGAAUUACUGGGCGUAAAGCGCGCGUAGGUGGCUUGAUAAGCCGGUUGUGAAAGCCCCGGGCUCAACCUGGGAACGGCAUCCGGAACUGUCAAGCUAGAGGGCAGGAGAGGAGAGUGGAAUUCCCGGUGUAGCGGUGAAAUGCGUAGAGAUCGGGAGGAAUACCAGUGGCGAAGGCGGCCUUCUGGACUGACACUGACACUGAGGUGCGAAAGCGUGGGUAGCAAACAGGAUUAGAUACCCGAGUAGUC